GCCGGCGUGGCGCAAUGGUAGCGCGUAGCUUUCCUACUGCUUGGGUUAGGCUGAAGUUGCGGGUUCGAUCCCCGUCGUCGGUU
RNAcentral lists this transfer RNA (83 nucleotides) under Lentinula lateritia. Its description in RNAcentral is "tRNA-Arg". It matches the Rfam family "tRNA". From Rfam's summary of the family: Transfer RNA (tRNA) molecules are approximately 80 nucleotides in length. Their secondary structure includes four short double-helical elements and three loops (D, anti-codon, and T loops). Lineage: Eukaryota; Fungi; Basidiomycota; Agaricomycetes; Agaricales; Omphalotaceae. The record is from RNAcentral.